Molecule: small nuclear RNA, 106 nt
Filed under: Aotus nancymaae (Ma's night monkey)
Lineage: Eukaryota; Metazoa; Chordata; Mammalia; Primates; Aotidae
Source: RNAcentral
UUGGCAGUUUGGCAACAUAUAUACUAAAAUUGGAACUAUACAGAGAAGAUUAGCAUAGCCCCUGCACAAGGAUGACACACAAAUUCAUGAAACAUUCCAUAUUUUG